GAUGAACGCUAGCUACAGGCUUAACACAUGCAAGUCGCGGGGCAGCAUGGGGGUUGCGUGCGAUCCCCGAUGGCGACCGGCGCACGGGUGAGUAACGCGUAUCCAACCUGCCCUUCACCACGGGAUAACCCGGCGAAAGUCGGACUAAUACCGUAUGUUGUCCAUUGACGGCGUCCGAUUUAGACGAAAGGGUUGGGGGUGGAGGAUGGGGAUGCGUUCGAUUUGCUGGAGGGCGGGUGGACGGGCGAGCGUGGCGACGAUCGGUAGGGGUUCUGAGAGGAAGGUCCCCCACACUGGAACUGAGACACGGUCCAGACUCCUACGGGAGGCAGCAGUGAGGAAGAUUGGUCAAUGGGCGUAAGCCUGAACCAGCCAAGUAGCGUGCAGGAAGACGGCCCUAGGGGUGGUAAACUGCUUUUAUGCGGGGAUAAAGUGGCCCACGUGUGGGUUUUUGCAGGUACCGCAUGAAUAAGGACCGGCUAAUUCCGUG
This 490-nucleotide ribosomal RNA is filed under the name uncultured bacterium. Its description in RNAcentral is "partial 16S ribosomal RNA". It matches the Rfam family "Bacterial small subunit ribosomal RNA", at positions 28 to 507 of the family's 1533-position model. The record is from RNAcentral.